UUCGAUAACGAACGAGACCUUAACCUGCUAACUAGAAGCGUUCACUUUGGUGGGCGUCGUCUUCUUAGAGGGACUAUCUAUGUUUAAUAGAUGGAAGUUUGAGGCAAUAACAGGUCUGUGAUGCCCUUAGAUGUUCUGGGCCGCACGCGCGCUACACUGAUAAAGUCAGCGAGUAUUCACCUUGACCGGAAGGUCUGGGCAAUCUUUUGAAACUUUAUCGUGAUGGGGAUUGACCAUUGCUUAUUUUUGGUCAUGAACGAGGAAUUCCUAGUAAGUGCGAGUCAUCAGCUCGCGUUGAUUACGUCCCCUGCCCGUUUCGAAUA
Molecule: ribosomal RNA, 323 nt
Filed under: uncultured fungus
Lineage: Eukaryota; Fungi
Description: bacterial SSU rRNA
Rfam family: Eukaryotic small subunit ribosomal RNA
Source: RNAcentral